Molecule: ribosomal RNA, 234 nt
Filed under: uncultured bacterium
Lineage: Bacteria
Description: partial 16S ribosomal RNA
Rfam family: Bacterial small subunit ribosomal RNA
Source: RNAcentral
UACGUAGGGUGCAAGCGUUGUCCGGAAUUAUUGGGCGUAAAGAGCUCGUAGGCGGUUUGUCGCGUCUGCUGUGAAAACCCGAGGCUCAACCUCGGGCCUGCAGUGGGUACGGGCAGACUAGAGUGCGGUAGGGGAGAUUGGAAUUCCUGGUGUAGCGGGUGAAAUGCGCAGAUAUCGGGAGGAACACCGGUGGCGAAGGCGGUUCUCUGGGCCUUACCUGACGCUGGAGGAGCG